UGGUAGUACAAGUCAUGAGCCACUAUGAUUUGGAUUUGCAAAAUUGACGUGAGAAAUAAAUAUAAUAUCUGUUUGAAAGUUACAUAAGCAGAAAUGAAAUCCUAAGCUAUACUAAACAAAAAGUUAGCAUGAAUCUGGUACGCUGGUACGUCUCCAGUGUAGAGCCUCGUCUUCACAGCUACUCAGCUCCAGAAUCUGCACACAAGGUAUAGAAGUAUAGUAUGAGUACUGUUACACUCCAAACCUGAAGAGGCGUGGCCGGCACCCGGUGCCAUACUUGGCCCGAGCGUACCACUCUGUAACUGUGAACUCUGCAGGGGUAACCCUCAACUUAUGUCGAAGGCCAUAUUCUGAAUCAUCUGAAAAUAACGUCUACAACUAGCAAUACCACACUAAACAUCUACAUAGGGCUGGUAAAGCCACAACACUGAUAUAAAAAAUGUACAGGACUCAUCUACAAGCCUGUAGGGAUAACUAAAUUGUAUCAUGGUUGGGACAGGGCCUCGACCUACCCAUCAAACUUAUAUAUAUAAAAUGGACUCCAAGGUAUAGACCUGAUAACUCAGAGGAAGUGGAGCUUACCAACCAAGCUGCUGUUUAUCUUUGUCUACUGGAAAGGUUUAUCCAGCUGUCUAUCAGGACCUGCAUACAUGAAAUGCAGCUUCCCCAACAAAAGGGACAUCAGUACGAUAUAAUGUACUGAGUAUGUAAGGCAACAAAAUAACUGAAAGCUGAAACUGAACUAAUAAUAAAAUAACUGAACGUACUUGGGAGUCAAAUAUAAUUUGAAAAUAUGUUUACCUGCUGAUACUGACUCAUCUUUCUCAAUAUAUUAAGUAAAAUAGCUGUCUGGCCAUAUAAGACUCGGUAUGUUUAAUAGCUCUGCCGUAGUAGGCUCGCUCAUAGGCGUUCGGCCAUACUAGGCUCUGUAUCUCGGCCAUUCUGGGCUUGCUCAUAGGCUCUCGUCCACAGUAGGCUCGGUAUAUAACUUACCAUCUGAUAAAAGGUUGCCCAAUAGGGGCCUGCCCAUCGAUUAUAGGUCGAUGGUGGUAAAAUACUGUAAUACUGUAUAUAUAUAGACUAUCCGCUCUCUUGGCUAAAAGAAGACAAAACUAAACUGAAUAUGAAAUCCCGAUAAGGGAGAAUACUAUAGCUUAUGAGAAUAGGAUAAUGUACAUAAAUUCAAUAAUAAGAACUUCUCUUUAUGCCUCGUUAUCAAACGUAUGUAGUUACGGGAUCAUGCUAAAAUGAAGGAAAGGUUUAGCCUUAACAUACCUUAGCUCUGCUGAGUCCUUAAUAAUUUCCAAGAAAUUCUUCAAACAACUCAACUCAAUCUACCACAACAUAAGGAGAUUCAAAAUCAGUGAUGAGUAAAGGCUAAGUCCGCAACUUAAACUAUUAGCUCGUUUACGUAAAUUUGGAAGCAUCUCCUCUAUAACAAGGCCCUCCUCAAAUACCAUGUACCAACAACAACAAGAACACAAUAAUAAUAACAUGUACGCAUUAUUUCCAACCUUAUCUCCAUCACAAUAUACCACAAAACAACCCACAUACCCUAAUCACUUUAUACAUAAAAUAACAAUCAAAGUAGUGCCAAACAACCAAAAAUAUUGUAACGACGAAUGAUCAGUCCACCAUUCCGUCAUUAUGUGGUGUUUCUCCAUACUCUUUCUCCUCCAAAACUCCAUAAACAUUAGCACAAGAGGCCAAAAUGAGUGGACUACAAAACAGUCCACUAAAACUGAAAUAAAUCGAACUCACAGCUUUCGAUUAUCGUCCCGUGAGUUCUAACUAUUAGGAAACAAAUUUAUCAACCUUCCUUGAUAUUUAAAAGCUUAAAUAAAGAAAUUAGGAUUUUCUUAACUAUGACGUACAUUCCGAAACUCAAACUACAAAUAAAAAGAGAGGCGAUAUAGCGAUACUUACGUCGUAGAGAUCGUUCUAAUGUUAUCACUUCUUGAUUUCGUACCUGAGAUGUUAAUAUUCUUUGGAACCCUUGUAAAGAGCUUAAGGGUAAGUUUUUGGGGGUUCCCUGGUCGUUUUCUAUGAAAACUGAAGAGAAAACGAUUUAGAACACUAAAUAUAUCAACUUUUGAAAAGUCAAAGAGGUGCUAGCUUGGAACCCUAACAUUGGCCAUUCUUCCGACGCUUAUAUCUUUUUAUCCGGAUAUCAUAUGAACGAAUAGUUAAGAGAUCUAGAAACAAAAUUCCAAGACUUUCAAUUUGGUAUAUAAUAUGUACCAAAAGACCUCAUAUAACACAUGAAAUGUAUUGCUCAAAAAGCUUUAGUGACACACCUACUUGUCACCUAUGCAGUUUGCGCAGUCUCGCAAAACUGCAAAUAUCUUUCUACUUCUAUGUUGUAUCGACUAACGGUUUAAUGCGUUAGAAACUACACUCGUAGAUAUACAAUUUUUUAGGUAGAUCAUCCCCUAAUUCCAAGUAUAUUGGUAGAAAAGCUCAGCUAUAUUUUACCUAAGUUUCAACACAUUUAUGAAUGUAACUUGUGAUGACCUUUUCCAAUUUUUGUUCCACAACUCGCUUGACUUCAAUACAUAACGCACGUCUAUCAUACGACUAAAAUAACUCAUAACAUAAUCUCCUUAUAAUUUUAAGGACCAUAUUCACACCCCAAAAGUAUAUGUUAUAAUAUUCCCCACAUGUCGACUUUUGACGAAACUUAUUUUUUUCAAUUCGUUUAACUUCUAACCCUUCCAACCCUCUUGGUACUUGGUAUUCCUGAUCUUAAAUAUUUGUAACCUCCAUGGUAACAUGAUUAACUUACUUUAUGUACUUAAAAGAUGAUCUCAUUUUUGAGCUUACAUCAAUUGACUUAAGACGUACUCUUAAGUACAAAAACAUGGGGUGUAACAAGUACAACCGAUCUCAUAUACUUAGUAAGUAUCUUGACUAACCUCAGAGAAGUAGUGACGAUGUUUUUAAGUUGAAAGAUGCUCACUUUGCAGAACCUGUGCAUCUCAAUCAUAUGUAUAACACAAAUAAAAUAUUCUAGACAGAUAGUUACGAAAUAAAGAGUAUCAAUAGUAAAGGUACCCAACAAGAUCCGCUUCUGUCACGACCCAAAUCAGAGGGCCACGACUGGCACCCGAUGCCUACUCAACCUAGUGCCAUGUAACUUAUCCCCUUUUCUCCUUUUUUUUUAAUUAUAAAACUCGUCACGGGCCAUGAUAGGCCACAUUUAUAUAUGUAAUUAAUAAUAUUAGAACUUAACUCACAUAACUAAUUCAAAAAGAUUUAUAUAGAUACAUAGGGGUCGUCAAGGCCGUUGACAUGUCAUACCUAAAGCUAUACACAGGACACUGUCUGCAAAACCUCUAAGAAAACAUGAUCAUAAUAUAUAACACAGGACACUGUCUGCAAAACCUCUAAGAAAACAUGAUCAUAAUAUAUAAGUCGGGACAGGGUCCCCGACAUCUUCAUAAAACAAAGUAAAAUAUAAAGAACAUGACUCGGUAAUACUCCAGGAAGAUGUGGAGCUCACCAACCAAAAGCUGAUAUAUGGAGGCAGCCUACAGUGGAUGGUCCUCACCUCGCCUAUCUACACCUGCAUGGCAUGAAACACAGCGUCCCAGGAAAAGGGACGUUAGUACGAAGAAUGUAUCGAGUAUGUAAGACAGAAAUGAAACGUAGUAAUAAUAAGAUACUAUCUCGGGGAGAGAUAAGAGUCAACUUAUAACUUUUGACUUGCCGUUGAGGGCCGUACCAUGUAGAAUAAAACCCAUUCGUAUAUAUAAAUAAAACUACGAUAUAGUAGUUCUGAUUAUAUCAUUCUCGUGGCGUUAACUACCCAAUUGAUGAGUAGUAACUGCCCGACCGGCCGUAGCUCGGUGGUAAAAGCACUACCCAAACGGUGGUAAAUAACUGCCUGACCGAUCGUAGCCCGAUAGUAAAUGCAUGUCUGCCCAACCGGCCGUAGCACGAUAAUAAAUAAAUAUGCAUGACUGCCCAACCGGCCGUAGCAAGAUAGUAAAUAUGUAACUGCCACUUCAGAAAGGAAAGGCACUGUUCAGUAUUUUCAUGACUUUUUUGUCCAUAGAGAUGUCGUUGAGGUGUCAUUUGAGAUAAAAUAAGCCAAGUAAAAUCAUUUGCUUAACCACGAGACCAAACAGGAAAAUAUACAAGAGUUUGGGAAAAAAAAAUUCUUAAAUGAUGACUCAAAUUAAUAAAAUUACUUAUUAGUGAAGUCAUUUUUGCAUAGCACUGGUGCUACUAUCGUCCACACAAUCACUGUAUCCUAACUCCUAACUCAUAAUACAGGAAGUAGUACCAUUAUUUCCAAAGUGAGCAAUUAAUAACGAGUUAAUUACCUUUAACUUCUUACGGAUAUAAAUGACUAAAUACAAGGUUUUAACUUUAGAUAAAAGAGGGAAAGGAUUAAAAAAAAACAAAAGCGACAAUGACUAAAUGCGUAAUUAGUCAUUACAUUUGCAUAUCGUUGCUUGGAUCAUGCCUAAAAAAGGAAGGAUUAGCCUUAACAUACCUGAAUCGAUUCUCUUGAAAGAGAUUAUACCGUACUCCCUUAAUGUUGCAAAAUCUCACAUUAAUUAAGUUGUUCUGAAAUCCCGGGUCUUGAGGCGUUGAAGACGCUAUAGAAUGUUAAACAUUUGAAUUCCUCCAAAUUCUUGAAUUCUCACGUUAUCAAAUGAAUGGAAUGGAUAUAUGACCCUUUUUAUGUCCUUAAGACAUAUCUAAUUUUCUUUU
Molecule: long non-coding RNA, 4722 nt
Filed under: Nicotiana tabacum (common tobacco)
Lineage: Eukaryota; Viridiplantae; Streptophyta; Magnoliopsida; Solanales; Solanaceae
Description: long non-coding RNA (NTAB_LNC008570)
Source: RNAcentral